This is a long non-coding RNA of Tupaia belangeri chinensis (Chinese tree shrew), 487 nucleotides long. RefSeq lists it as uncharacterized. Lineage: Eukaryota; Metazoa; Chordata; Mammalia; Scandentia; Tupaiidae. The record is from RefSeq and is a predicted model, not a curated record. The transcript has 3 exons.
ACUCUCAGAACCCAGCUGCCAUGCUAUGAGGAAGCGUAAGAAGUCCACAGAAUAUUCCAACGCAUAGGAAAAAAAUAAGUUGUUCAUGACUGGCUCUGAGGGGCUUCAUCCUACAUAUGUAAGAUUGAUGUCCAGCCAAGGAGCCAGUUGGGCCACCAUACAGAUUUCUGGAUAACACCUCCGUGUAACUUCUUCCUCUCAGAAAUGUGCCCCAGAAAUUCUGGACUCUUCAGCCUCCUCAAGUCUGUUUUGUCCUCAUAACGGCCAUACAGAAUUCUCUCAUGUGCCCUAGACUCUGAGAAAAGAGACAACAUUACAACAGAAGAAAACACAUCGUGAUUACAAUGAAGCAACAGGCCUUGCUGUUCCUCUCCCAUCAAAUAUUUCUCCAUUAGAUCAUCCACUUUGUCCUUCAGUCGUAUUUCCCAUAACUGUCCACAAGUACACAAUCCCCUGAUCUGCCAUUCUUUGUUUCCAAAGUCUCCUG